CCAAUAGCGUAUAUUAAAGUUGUUGCAGUUAAAAAGCUCGUAGUUGAAUUUCAGGCCUGGCUGGACGGUCCGCCCUUCGGGCGAGUACUGUCUGUGGUCGGGUCCUACCUUCUGGCGAAGCGUCAUGGCCUUAACCGGCCGUGGCGGGGAACCAGGACUUUUACUGUGAAAAAAUUAGAGUGUUCAAAGCAGGCAAAUCGCUUGGAUACAUUAGCAUGGAAUAAUGGAAUAGGACAAUGGUUCUAUUUGUUGGUUUCUAGGACCGUUGUAAUGAUUAAUAGGGAUAGUUGGGGGCAUUAGUAUUCAAUUGUCAGAGGUGAAAUUCUUGGAUUUAUUGAAGACUAACUACUGCGAAAGCAUUUGCCAAGGAUGUUUUCAUUAAUCAAGAACGAAAGUUAGGGGAUCGAAGACGAUCAGAUACCGUCGUAGUCUUAACCAUAAACUAUGCCGACUAGGAAUCGGGCGAUGUUGAAAAAAUGACGCGCUCGGCACCUCAUG
Molecule: ribosomal RNA, 498 nt
Filed under: uncultured Glomeromycotina
Lineage: Eukaryota; Fungi; Glomeromycota
Description: partial small subunit ribosomal RNA
Rfam family: Eukaryotic small subunit ribosomal RNA
Source: RNAcentral